This 2489-nucleotide ribosomal RNA is filed under the name Musa schizocarpa. RNAcentral describes it as "eukaryotic LSU rRNA". It matches the Rfam family "Eukaryotic large subunit ribosomal RNA", at positions 714 to 3401 of the family's 3401-position model. Lineage: Eukaryota; Viridiplantae; Streptophyta; Magnoliopsida; Zingiberales; Musaceae. The record is from RNAcentral.
ACAAAGGGAAGCUAGCAGGCGGGAACCCUCUCGAGGGUUGCACGCCCGGCCGACUAUCUUCGAGGUUCGAGUUGGAGCAUGCAUGCCGGGACCCAGAAAGAUGACGAACUAUGCAAUGAGGUGAAGCGGAGAGCUUCUGGUGGAGGCCAGCGUCGCAGCGUCUGGAAAAUCGUUCGAUGCGACUUUGGGUAGAGUGAAGACUAAUCAUCUAGUAGGCUGGACGGUUUCCCUCAGAAGUUUCAGGAUAUUUGGGGCCCGUGCGGUUCUAUAUGAUUGACCAAUGAUUAAGAGCCUUCGAGGCGCCAGCAACGCCCUCAUUCAUCCUCAAACUUUAAAUAGGUAGGACGGCUGCUUAGUUGAACCGUCGGAAUCGAGAGCUCAAGUGGGCCAUUUUGGUAGCGGUAGCGUCGGGAUGAGCAGGAGCCCAGAGAUUCUGAUUGCCGAUGCGCUAACCCGGACACCGAGGGUGUUGGUCGAUUAAAGACAAGCGGGGCGGUGGUCAUGAAAUUGAAAUCCGCUAAGGGUGUGGCAACUCACUGCGGAUGUAGCCCGAAAAUGGAUGCCGGUAGCGCCGACCCACCCGAUACCGCUGAGUGGCGUAAGCGAUGGGUAAAGUGCGGCGGUCGCCCAUAAAACCAGAGCCGAGACGGCCGUCGGUGCAGAUCUUGGUAGUAGCAAAUAUUCAAAUGAGAACUUUGAAGGUCAAGGGGAAAGGUUCCAUGUGAAGCGGCACUUGCAAUACGGGUUAGCCGAUCCUGGGGGACGGAAAACCACCGAGAGCGGUAAUCUCCCGCUUGAAGCUAAAGGGAAUCGGUUAAAAUUCCCGGCGGGACGCUUGGCCGGACGGCAACGUUAGGGAAGUCCGAGACGCCGGUGGGGGCUCCGGAAGUGUUAUCUUUUCUGCUUAACGGGUUCGCAACCCUGGAAACGGCUCAGCCGGAGGUAGGGUCCAGUCUGCCGGAAGGCGCAUCCGGCGGCGUCCGGCAGCCUGGGAUCUUUGAAAAUCGAGGACCCCAGUGCCUCUGCGGGUCGUACUCAUAACCGCAUCAGUCUCCAAGGUGAACAGCCUGGCCCAUGGAACAAUGUAGGCAAGGGAAGUCGGCAAAACGGAUCCAGUGAAUCGGAAAAGGAUUGGCUCUGAGGGGGCACGGGGUCCGCCCCGAAACCGCCGGUUGUCGGCGAUGGUUUCGACUCUGCUCCGCGCGAGCUUACCGUCACAAGUGGGACGGGGACGGAAUUCGGAAGAUAUAUGGCCUUCGGGGGCGCCGAACGAAUUCCGGAACUGGUGGACAGGGGAAUCGAACGCUUAAUUAAAACAAAGCAUUGCGCAUGGUCCCGCUGAUGCUCACGCGAAUGUGAUUUCUGCCCGCUCCCAUGUCAAAGUGAAGAAAUUCAACCAAGCGGGUAAACGACGGAGUAACAUGACUCUUUCUUAAGGUAGCCAAAUGCCCGUCAUCUAAUUAGUGACGCAUGAAUGGAUUAACAGGAUUCCCAACGUCCCCGUUUUACUAUCCAAGAAAACCGUUGCCAAAGGAACGGGCUUGGGUGAAUCAGAGGGAAAGAAGACCUGCGUUGAGCUUGACUCUAGUCCGACUUUGUGAAUGACAUGAGAGGUGUAGUAUAAGUGGGUUUUGUUCGCCUACGGAAGUGAAAUACCACUACUUUUUAACGUUAUUUUACUUAUUCCGCGGAGUUCGGGCCGGGCCCGACCCUCCUUUUGGACCCAAAGGCCGCCUAGCCCGGCCGAUCCCGGCGAAGACAUUGUCGGGUGGGGAGUUUUAUUGGGCGGCACAUCAUUAAAAAGAUAACGAGGUGUCCUAAGAUGAGCCUCAACGAGAACAGAAAUCUCGUGUAAGGGAACAAAAAGGUAAAAGUUCGUUUGAUUCCGAUUUCCAAUACUAAUAAUGAACCAGUGGAAAGCAUGGCCCUAUCGAUCCUUUAGACCUUCGAAUUUGAAGCUAGAGGUGUCGAAAAGUUACCAUUGGGGAUAGCGGGCUUGUAGCGGCCAAAAGUUAUCAUAAAGCGACGUUGUUUUUGAUCCUUUCGAUGUCGCUCUUCCCUAUCAUUGUGAAGCAGAAUUCACCAAGUGUUGGAUUGUUCACCCACCAAUAGGGAACGUGAGCUGGGUUUCAGACCGUGCGCGGAGACAAAGUUAGUUUUACCCUACCGAUGAUCGGUCACGAUAGUAAUUCAAUCUAGUACGAGGAACCGUUGAUUCACAACAAUUGGUCAUCGAGCUUGGUUGAAAAGCCAGUGGCGCCAAGCCACCGGUGUCGAUUAUGACUGAACGCGUCUAAGUCAGAAUCCCAGCUAGCAACCGGCGCUCACCGGUCGUCGUCCUCUCUCGACCCUGGUAGGGGCCUUUGGCCCCAUGGGCUCGUGGUCGCCGUAUAGCCCUCGUGGUGGUAUAGGCCAGCGGCCAUCGGAAGUGAAAUUCCGCACGGACGACGGGUCAAUUUUGCAUUUAAUUAAUUUAAAUACGCUGGGGC